Molecule: ribosomal RNA, 254 nt
Filed under: uncultured bacterium
Lineage: Bacteria
Description: partial 16S ribosomal RNA
Rfam family: Bacterial small subunit ribosomal RNA
Source: RNAcentral
UACGGAGGGCGCGAGCGUUGUCCGGAAUCACUGGGCGUAAAGGGCGCGUAGGCGGCCCUGGUAAGUCUGCGGUGAAAGCCCGGGGCUCAACCCCGGGUCGGCCGCGGGUACUGCCGGGCUGGAGUGCCGUAGGGGCAGGCGGAAUUCCGGGUGUAGCGGUGGAGUGCGUAGAGAUCCGGAAGAACACCGGUGACGAAGGCGGCCUGCUGGGCGGCGACUGACGCUGAGGCGCGACAGCGUGGGGAGCAAACAGG